RNAcentral lists this ribosomal RNA (452 nucleotides) under Achrysocharoides sp. 6 RDB-1999. RNAcentral's name for it is "eukaryotic LSU rRNA". Lineage: Eukaryota; Metazoa; Arthropoda; Insecta; Hymenoptera; Eulophidae. The record is from RNAcentral.
CCUGAGAAACCCAAAAGAUCGAAUGGGGAGAUUCAUCGUCAGCGUGGCUGGCUUCCGUGCGGUUCGCGAUGGCCGGGAUCUCGGUCCCGCGUCACGCGUCCGCCGCGGUAUGUCUGGCCGCGUCGGCGUGCACUUCUCCCCUAGUAGGACGUCGCGACCCGUUGGGUGUCGGACCGAUGGCCGUUUGGUCGACUGUCUCGUCGCGUUCACGCGUGCACGCGGCAGACCGAAAUGGUCGAGCGUCCGGCUGCCCGGCGGUAUAGAACGCUAUUGAACGGUAACGAGCCGCACUAAGUGCGUUCAGGCUCGUCGGCAGGCUCGUCUCGCCCGGAUUUACGGACCUAGCGCCGUUGCCGGGUGCUUGGCGUGGCCGUUAGUCGACGAUGUCCUCGGACUGGCUCGAAAAUUCGAAAGGAUUACCGGUCGGCGACGCUACUGCUUUGGGUACUUUC